UAGGGAAUCUUCCGCAAUAGGCGAAAGCUUGACGGAGCAACGCCGCGUGAGUGAUGAAGGUCUUCGGAUCGUAAAACUCUGUUAUUAGGGAAGAACAAAUGUGUAAGUAACUAUGCACGUCUUGACGGUACCUAAUCAGAAAGCCACGGCUAACUACGUGCCAGCAGCCGCGGUAAUACGUAGGUGGCAAGCGUUAUCCGGAAUUAUUGGGCGUAAAGCGCGCGUAGGCGGUUUUUUAAGUCUGAUGUGAAAGCCCACGGCUCAACCGUGGAGGGUCAUUGGAAACUGGAAAACUUGAGUGCAGAAGAGGAAAGUGGAAUUCCAUGUGUAGCGGUGAAAUGCGCAGAGAUAUGGAGGAACACCAGUGGCGAAGGCGACUUUCUGGUCUGUAACUGACGCUGAUGUGCGAAAGCGUGGGGAUCAAACAGG
Molecule: ribosomal RNA, 429 nt
Filed under: Actinomycetes bacterium
Lineage: Bacteria; Bacillati; Actinomycetota; Actinomycetes
Description: Actinobacteria bacterium partial 16S ribosomal RNA
Rfam family: Bacterial small subunit ribosomal RNA
Source: RNAcentral